UCCAGGCGAUUUAAAAAUUUCUGUAUAGUUCUAUUACAAUUAGCACACGACAAUCUCUUACCCAAUAUUGGAACACCCAGCUAUGCUAUCAAGUAUCAUCACAUUCUUUAAUAUAAAAAUGAGUUUUAAUGUGUUGUUUAAUAAAAGUGUUAACUUUAGGACUGAAUUUAGUCAUAGAUUUUUCAAAAUUAACCUAUUGUCCAAAAAUUACCCGGUACUUCUAUAUAAUAGUCAAUAAGGUUCUUGCAUUAUUCACAGUGGCC
RNAcentral lists this long non-coding RNA (263 nucleotides) under Elaeis guineensis (African oil palm). RNAcentral describes it as "long non-coding RNA (EGUI_LNC002528)". The record is from RNAcentral. Lineage: Eukaryota; Viridiplantae; Streptophyta; Magnoliopsida; Arecales; Arecaceae.